RNAcentral lists this ribosomal RNA (321 nucleotides) under uncultured eukaryote. RNAcentral describes it as "partial 18S ribosomal RNA". It matches the Rfam family "Eukaryotic small subunit ribosomal RNA", at positions 1470 to 1796 of the family's 1831-position model. The record is from RNAcentral.
CCCUUAGAUGUCCUGGGCCGCACGCGCGCUACACUGACAUGUUCAACAAGCCUCCUAGUUCGACAGGAUUUGGGAAAUCUUUGAACGCAUGUCGUGAUAGGGAUAGAUCAUUGCAAUUAUUGAUCUUGAACGAGGAAUUCCUAGUAAACGCGAGUCAUCAGCUCGCAUUGAUUACGUCCCUGCCCUUUGUACACACCGCCCGUCGCACCUACCGAUUGAAUGUUUCGGUGAAGAUUCCGGAUAGGACUUUUUUGAUUUAUUUCAAUUUUGUCUUAAAAGCUAUCUAAACCUCAUCAUUUAGAGGAAGGUGAAGUCGUAACA